UCUCCAAUGACCGCGAGGCGGCGCUGGUGGUGCGGGUGGUGGAGACCGUGGCUCGACUGUGCCCGGGCGCCCAGCGACCGUCCGUGGCCGUCAUCACCCCGUACAAUCACCAGAGGAAGCUCAUACAGGAACAGCUCGGGCAAAGCCCGGCCAAGACGCUCGCCGUGCAGGUGGGCACAGUGGACGGAUUCCAGGGCCAGGAGAGGGACGUGGUGGUCCUCUCCUUCGUGCGCUCCAACUUCGUCGGCGACCUGGGCUUCCUCGGUGACCUGCGUCGACUGAACGUGGCCCUCACCCGCGCCAAGAACUGCCUCUACAUCUGCGGCGACCUCGGAACGCUGUCCAAGAAUGCCGACUGGAACGAGCUUAUUAAGGACGCAUAUGCCCGACAACUGGUGGUCAAGGACACCAGCGGACUACAAAACAUCCUCAGCUGCUGGAGCGCUUUCUGCUUCUGAGGGCAACAUAACACUCAGGUUCGCAUACUCGCCGAUAGGUGGCACCGCCAGCGGCCAACCGCGCUGAACAAAUCAAACACUGACGUGAGACGGACGCGGCAGUCUGGCCUGUUUCGUUCAGCGUUGCUUUCAUCGUACCUGAAGGCUGUGAUGGGAACGGUGCGCGUGCUGUGGAGGGUCCCGUCCUUCGGUGUCGGCGGGUGGUUGGACUCCAUUUGGUUUGGUUCGGUCUCGGGAGAAGACGAGGGAGUGGACACGCUCCUAACAGUGAUAUCAGAGUUCGGUACUCGGUCAGGUGAACUCGUCAGUACUCUGUUUCUGCCAGGUACGCCCGCAGAUGUGAUAGUCGAGAGCAGUGAUUGAGACUUUUUCAAGUGUUACUGUUCCUGGUCAAUGUGCUCGGCCUUCAUGAAGUGUAUGAUGUUGACAUAAUUAGUGUAUUUGAUACAAUCCUGAGCUUCGUUUAUGUGGCGUGUGGCCUAGUGAUUUUAUUUUUGAAUGCAACCUUGCAGGCUACUGAACCUAGGAGGAGCCAUGUAACUCAAAGUGUUAGCGGUGACACGUUGGAUGUGAUUUGGAAGUGCCUGGUACCGGGAUGGACCUCCGCUCUGGCCGGGAGGCCGCCCAGUCUUUGGUGUCGGUUGGUGACAGCCCCGGUAACGUUAGAGACUUUUCUAACGGAAUGGUGGCAGGAUGUUCGUCUUUGGUCGUGGGUGAAAACGGCAGGGGAUGCGAUGAAAUACAGAAUGAAUCAUGCGUCA
Molecule: long non-coding RNA, 1219 nt
Organism: Amphibalanus amphitrite
Lineage: Eukaryota; Metazoa; Arthropoda; Thecostraca; Balanomorpha; Balanidae
Exons: 3
Source: RefSeq, a predicted model, not a curated record